Molecule: ribosomal RNA, 390 nt
Filed under: Syndiniales sp.
Lineage: Eukaryota; Dinophyceae; Syndiniales
Description: partial small subunit ribosomal RNA
Rfam family: Eukaryotic small subunit ribosomal RNA
Source: RNAcentral
AUUCCAGCUCCAAUAGCGUAUAUUAAAGUUGUUGCGGUUAAAAAGCUCGUAGUUGGAUUUCUGUCAAAGGUGAGGUGGUCCAUCUUAUGGAUGUGUAUCUACCCAUGCCUUGGCAUCUUCUUCAAGAACGCUUUCGCGCUUCAUUGCGUGAUGCGGAAUUGAAGACUUUUACUUUGAGGAAAUUAGAGUGUUCACGGCAGGCAAUCGCUUUGAAUACAUUAGCAUGGAAUAAUACUAUAGGGCCUCGGCUUUAUUUUGUUGGUUUCUAAAGCUGAGGUAAUGAUUAAUAGGGAUAAUUGGGGGUCUUUGUAUUGCAACGUCAGAGGUGAAAUUCUUGGAUUGUUGCACGACAAACUACUGCGAAAGCAUUGGCCAAGGAUGUUUUCAUUG